Long non-coding RNA from Astatotilapia calliptera (eastern happy), 307 nucleotides. NCBI's taxonomy places the organism in Eukaryota, Metazoa, Chordata, Actinopteri, Cichliformes, Cichlidae. The record is from Ensembl.
GAAGCAGUCUGUGUUUCCUUGUUCUCCCAAGCUGCUCCCGGCGCUGUAACUAACCCAGCUGAACGGCAUACCUGAGUGUUACUUUAAAUAAUUAGGAAUCUUAGAAGGAAAGGACAGAACUCUGCUUAUCGCUCACGCCACGGAGGAAACCCGGGAAGGCAAUUUCCUUCAAUUUUGGUGUCAGAAGUGGGAUCCCUGACAGAAGGAACAUCCUCUGUGUCAGCUGGACCCUCAGCAGAGAAUGAACUCAACAUCCUUUUUGUCCGGUACUCUAUGUCACACACUGUGCCAAAAAAACGUGUACAGA